This is a non-coding RNA of Callithrix jacchus (white-tufted-ear marmoset), 2789 nucleotides long. NCBI's taxonomy places the organism in Eukaryota, Metazoa, Chordata, Mammalia, Primates, Cebidae. The record is from RefSeq and is a predicted model, not a curated record.
AGCCAAAUUACAGCUUCCAGCUGCCGUUUAAUGAUCAUGCCCCUACUCGGACAUGACUUCGCCUUGCACAAAGCCCUUUUGCAUGUAUGAUCUCGUGGGAACCUUCCAAUAACCAGGUGCAGCCUAGCUUGUGCAGAGACCACAGGAAGGGAAUACUGGGAAGACAAAGAAACGAGUCCACAAGACAGACGUUGAAUUCCCCUGCAUCAAGACCAGCACCCCAGGCACUGAUGACCACCCUACCCGCGCCUCCACUCUCCAGCCCCUGCCGUCACCUGCCCAGGCACCCAGCGUUUACCUCCUCUGCAGACCAUAAGAGAAAUGGGGACACUUGGUGAAGACCACAUUUUCAAAAGCAAAAUCAAUAAUAUGCCUGAGGAUGUCUCCCAUAUUUUUAGCAGCAUUUUCUAGCUCCAGCCUUGCUCCUAACAAAGAAAUCCAAGGAUGAUGCAGGCAGUUCCAGAAGCCCCAACACCACCAAGCUGGUUCCAGAAGCCCCAACACCACUCACCUGGCUCCCCAUGCCAGCCACUGCACCACCUGAACAAAGCAGCAGGCUACAUCUGCGGGAUGUUUCCACAUCUGUGGCCACGUGGCCACAGAUCCCCACUGCAGAGCUGCACUUACCUGGCCUUGGACAGGCUUCAAAGGUCUGCACUUACCUGGCCAUAGACCCCACAGAAAUCUUUAAAGUCUUGAUUUACCCAUGGCUGUUUUCUGUUCCCUUUGCACGCUCCAGAGUAUUCUGGAUUGUAAACCACGAGGAUAACAAAUCUGACCUCUGUCUUGGACUUAAUGACAAUGCCUCUUCCUAAACAUUCUCUGACCCAGGUUUAUCGUUUUUAAAGGAAAGAAAAUGAAAACAGGUUGACAGUGCCACCCCAUCCUUGCAGAAGGCUGCGAUGUGACAGGAGAAGCAGCUUGGCCUAACAGGAGGCCUGAGAUCUGCUGUCAAUUUGCAACAGGACCUCGUGGACAAGUCACAUUACCCCACUCCCACCCUCCUUUCCCAUGUGUUACUGCCAUGCCUGACUCAUAGUGAGAUUAAAAGAGAUAAUGAAUUAGAAAGUCUUGCUAAGACAGCUGGAAAUAGGAACUGUUUUUUUAAAGAAUUGAACAUAUAGAUGGUCCCAAGCCCUGUGUGUAACAAAAUGAUUUUCCAUGAACGUCCUUGAGCGUCUCAAAAGUAGGGGUUGUCUUGGGUAGCAUCCCAGCAUGAUGCCUGACCCACUGCAGGCUUGUUUAGUGAAUCAAUGCCAGGCAGUCCCGACCUGGUCAGUGGGUCAUACAUUCUUUGCUCUGAGGGAUUUGACCGUGUUCCCUUGGUGACCCAAAGCACCCAUUUGUGGGAGGGAGUCUCAGUCACCUGGGGUCAGUGAGCAGACAUUCUCAUGAAUUGGUGCUGGAGAAAAAAGCUGCAAUUAGGCCUCAUUUUUUAACCCCAAGUCCUACCAGCAUAGCUAUUUGACCGAUUUGAUCAUUAAACAGGCCACUUACGGAAAAUAACACGUUCUGUUGUAAAGAUGCUCCUGCAGGACUGCUCUGUCAGCGUCUGCCAGCCCUGCACCCUCAGGCACCUGAAUCACAGGACCCAGGGUUUCCACAGCUCUCUCCUUGCAGGCGCUGUCUCUCUAACCCAGGAAUGAAAGACGGGACUCAGUGAGGCCUAAAGUGGAUGGGCUUGCUCAACUUGAUUUCAGAACGUGGCAAAGGCACUCGGCUCUCCCUGGGGCAGUGCAGGGUGGAACAGCAGUUCCAGGAGAGUGGCAGGAGUCAGGGGAGCACCUAGGGCUGGUGUCCGGUGGAGAGUGCCCAGGAAAACCCUUCUGGUUUGGUUUCCUGUGGUCCUAAGCACUGAAUGCACAAGUAGGUGGUAGCAGCCCUGGCUCACAUCACCCCAUGUAAUCACACUGCAUGGUUUGUGAUCAGAGAACUGGACCAGGACGCAGCAGCCCUGCUGAGUGCUAACCAUCAUCAGCACUGUUACCCGGGUAAGCCGUAACAGUCAGGGCAGUCCUCCUUGUCCACCCAUCACCUUCAGAUGUCCUUCUACAGAUCUACAACUGGAGCUUUCUCCAGAUACAGAGGAUUAAAGAACAGUGACCAAAAGCCAGGCUGAACCGCAGCAGCUCCCAGAAGGUAACACUUCUCUGCAUACAGAGAAGGAUGUGGGCCUGGGAGAAGUGGGCAAGUACACGUCUUCCUUCUCCAGAGCCACGUUGGGGUCCUUUCUUCCUCCUACCUCCCAGCUACCCAACACUGGCACCCCAAUACCCAUCUCUCCACCCUCUCCAGUUCCCUCCUCUCCUCGGGGAAGAUACCAUUGAGGUCACAGCCUAGCCUGGAGCCCUGGGUUCUUUUUCAGCACCAGGGACGCAGCCAACCCUGCUUUGGAAGGGCAUGACGGGUGCCAUCUUGGGGAAAGGAGGCUGAGGAGCGUAUGUGGGAAGAAACACUAAAUUGACUUGAAGGAGAGGGAAAGAGAGAAAACACCCACAGCAAGAACUGGGCAUGGGGAGUGUGUGCUCCUAGCCUGGGGCAAAUCGAUCUCUGAGCACACGCAGACCCAGGCUUCAGUGAAGGUGGUUCGGAAAGGACAGUGAGACCACAUGGAAUAUUCUGUCCAUGUUCUCUUCUGCAACGCCAGACUGAUAAGGAUCCAAGCCAGUCAAGUCAGCCAGCCCACUUCAGACAUGCCCCAGACAGGAGUAGGAGCAGUGUGCUUGGUUCUCUCCUGCACAGCCACCUCCUCAGGUAGCCAAGCCUGAGUGGAGCCCACCCUGCUUGUG